AUUGAACGCUGGCGGCAUGCUUUACACAUGCAAGUCGAACGGCAGCGCGGGGCAACCUGGCGGCGAGUGGCGAACGGGUGAGUAAUAUAUCGGAACGUACCCAAGAGUGGGGGAUAACGUAGCGAAAGUUACGCUAAUACCGCAUACGAUCUAAGGAUGAAAGUGGGGGAUCGCAAGACCUCAUGCUCCUGGAGCGGCCGAUAUCUGAUUAGCUAGUUGGUGAGGUAAAGGCUCACCAAGGCGACGAUCAGUAGCUGGUCUGAGAGGACAACCAGCCACACUGGAACUGAGCCACGGUCCAGACUCCUACGGGAGGCAGCAGUGGGGAAUUUUGGACAAUGGGCGCAAGCCUGAUCCAGCAAUGCCGCGUGAGUGAAGAAGGCCUUCGGGUUGUAAAGCUCUUUUGUCAGGGAAGAAACGGUAGAGGCUAAUAUCCUUUGCUAAUGACGGUACCUGAAGAAUAAGCACCGGCUAACUACGUG
RNAcentral lists this ribosomal RNA (482 nucleotides) under uncultured bacterium. Its description in RNAcentral is "partial 16S ribosomal RNA". It matches the Rfam family "Bacterial small subunit ribosomal RNA", at positions 30 to 507 of the family's 1533-position model. The record is from RNAcentral.